This 652-nucleotide long non-coding RNA is filed under the name Zea mays. Its description in RNAcentral is "long non-coding RNA (ZMAY_LNC002889)". Lineage: Eukaryota; Viridiplantae; Streptophyta; Magnoliopsida; Poales; Poaceae. The record is from RNAcentral.
UCUGUAGUUCUUCAGGUUGAGUGUCCACGACAGGCUCUGCGGAGGAAAGCAAGUCAUCACUGCCACCUCCAAGCACCAGCACCUUUCCAGGAGCACCAGCGCAGCUCAGAACGGUGCCUGCAAAUUCCAAAGCCAGCUCCACUGAUAAGAUCCAAGAAACCACCAAUUUGCAGGCUGCGACGACGAGGAAACAAAAUAAGAAGAAAACGAGGAAACCCAUCGGCACAAAAAUUGGAAGUAUCGCUGCAGCGACCGGAAACACUGACGCAUAUCGCCGCAACAAAAUGCAGGAUCCGAGUUUAGGAACCGCGCUCGAUGGCUUCCACUGGUCGAAAUACAGACAUAGGAAUAAGAAAAAAAUGCGUGCACGUAUGAUAAUCAGAACCACUCAGGAUCCAGGCCAGCACAAACGCCACACAAGCGUAGAGGGAGAAAAGCGAAAAAGAGCCGGCGACCAGCCGACUAAGAAUAGAGGGGGAGGGGGAAGCGAGCGAGCGAGGGAGCGAGCCGUACGAGAGAAGGCGUCCUUCCUCCUGAAGAGCAACGACGGCAAGUCCACCUCACUCCUCCGCUCCCCGCCAGAUCGCGCCGAGCCGCCAGGCCGCACGACCCCGAGCCUCGCGCCGGACACAGCGAACGACGCCAUCCCGCG